UUCUCUCCUCACUCUGCUCGACCUAGACCUGCAAAACUGAAAAACUCAAACACUGGCCUCUCUCCUUCUCAUCAGCUCUCUCAACUCUCUCAAAUCUUGAUUCUCUCUCUCUCCUUCAUCUUCUCACUCUCUCGAUUCUUCUUCAUAGUCUUUCCUUCUUCUUCUUAGUCUCUACUUUAUCUUUCACGUCCGGAUUAAUGGAGCUCUCCAGCAACCAGAAGAGUUGUUUCCGAUUCAGAUUAUUGACGGCUUAUGUUCAAAAAGGAGUUUGACAGCAGCUAUGUGGGAUUUAUGAAGGAUGGAGCCAAGUGGUUGGUGGAGAACACUGAAAUCCUUCUUUGUGGCUGGAUUUGUGAAAUACAAAGUGGGUGUUAGCAAUUGGAAUUUUAUUUGCUGUAGCAAUUGAUUGGCUGUAUUAGCUGCUGAAACCUAAGGCUUGAGGUAGGGAAAGCAAACUUUUCUCUAUAGCUUUGAUUAUGAUUUGGUAUGUAAUUGGUGUGAUUGUGUUGGAACAUUUUCCUCUGCGAUUUUUAAGUGAAAUUUGACAAGCAGAGAGUCACACCCCAAACAUCUAACCAGAUUGUAGAUGGUUUAGUUUAGUUACUACCUGGAUAUGAAAAGCCAAAUGGGGUAUUAAUGCUUCAUGCAUCCUCUUUGUAUUCCCUUGUUUACUCUCCAAUAUAGUAGCUAUUCUUUUGGCUUGUAAGCUAGUUCUUUUUGUUGUGUCUCUCUUGUUUACUCUCAAAACAAACCAACUUUAAAAUCAAAACUUCAUAUUGUGGUUAAAACAGCUUUGCUGAAUUUUCUGAGAAAGCUGCUGAUCUGUUAACUUUGAGCUUUGUGUUGCCCUACUUACUGAUCUCCAAAUGUCAUGAAAUUUUGAUAUAUUUCUUUUCUGCUAGUUAAAAAAUGAUCUGGAAAGUUUCACCUUAUUUCCAUGUAUAAUGAAUCUUCAGUGAUUUUUCUUUUGAGUCUGGUCUGCUUUGGCAAAGUUCCAGAAUUUUUAGUGUACCCUCUAAUUUUCUGCUGAGAUUUGAACUUCUAUUUGAAUCAUUUAACCUAUGGUCUUUGUAUAUAUUGAAUUAGACAUUCCAAUAGUUGUUUCAAAAUUGAUUUCUUGUCAAUUGGUUGUAAAAUGUAUUUUUGGUGGAUUUUCUAUUUUGAUUUUACUGCUGCUAUAUUUUUCUGAAACCUGACAGUUCAGUCUAUUUGUAUCCAUCAUUUCCCUUACUUCUCAAACUCUGAUUAGUUUGAAAUUUAAGUAUGUCGUACCUAAAUAUGUCAGCUUUCGUUCUGGAAAAUUUCAACUUCAUUGUUGCAAAAUGAAUUUUUCAUAAAUCCUCAAAGUAAACUGUUCCUGCCUAAAUGUUACACUUUAAGUUGUGUCAAAUUUGGUCUUUUUCUGAAUUUCUUUUGCACGAGAUCGCUGGGGAAUGAAGCGUAUGAAUGUUGGGACAAGCAGAGCUCAGAAGGAGUUGAAGCACCUGAAGAUUUUGAGGAUGGCAGUGAUUUACAUAAUGAUGUUUGUGUUGAUUGUGUGGACUGUGGAGGUUGCUAUGAUCAAUAUUGUUGCUCCAAUCUACCAAAGAUUCGAAGGAAUGCCUGAUGAUUUCCUUGGUUUACUUGACAUGAAGUGCUUAUAUGGAUGGGGAAGAGAAAAAGAAUAUGGUUGUUACUCAAUUCGAAGCUGUGGAUGCGAGGAUGUGCUUUCCAUGUUGGGAUGAAUGUGCUCUCAAGGCUAGCUUCAAGAUAGCAUUAGAUGUACCAUCAGAGCUGACAGCUUUAUCCAAUAUGCCUAUUGUUAAUGAAAAGUUUGAUGGAGAUGUUAAGACUCUGUAUUUUGAGGAAUCUCCAAUCAUGUCAACUUAUUUGGUGGCUGUUGUUGUUGGCCUAUUUGAUCAUAUUGAAGAUACAACAUCUGAUGGGGUAAAGGUUCGUGCAUAUUGCCCUGUUGGGAAGAGUGAUAAAAGGGGAAUUUGCUUUAAAUGUUGCUGUUAAGACCCUUGAUCUUUUCUCCAAAUACUUCUCAACGCCAUACUCACUCCCCAAACAUGAUAUGGUUGCGGUUUCUGAAUUUUCUGGUGGGGCCAUGGAGAAUUAUGGUUUGAUCACAUACUGUGAAAAUGAAUUGCUUUUUGAUCCUUUGCAUUCCACAGCAGCAAGAAAGCAAAGAGGAAAAUCGUCCGUACCAUACCUGACGUUUGGCCCAUUCUAAACUUUCGUACCUCACGUUUAGAAAAUAUCAUAACGGUACCUGAGGUUCUGACCCCGACCAAAGUUUGGUACCUAGAGCCGUUAGCUCUGUUACGGAAAAUGCAUGCUGAAGGAUAUUUUCGUCUUUUCAUGCCAUAAUUCAUUAUUUUUUUUAUCUUAGUAUUUUUUUUCUAUUUCUUUUUUCUCUAUCUCCCUAUUGUUCCUCUCUCUCUCUCUCUGAACCUUUAAACAAUCCCACUUCAAUGUCCAAAUUCCACAACCCAUUACUCCAUUAGUCUCAACCAUCCAAAAUGAGCUUCAAGAAGCUCAAAGCUUCAAACUUUGGCUCGUUUCUUUUAUAUUCAACGGUUUCCCCACAACCCAAAUCUAUAUACAUAAUCCCUGAGCUAGUCCUCUUCUUCUCAUCUUCUCCUAUUUCGUUUCCCAGAAAAAAAGAUAAGGCCCCCAUCAAUUGAUUCAAUUCCAAACAAUCAGCAACUGAAGCAAGCCAACAUGGAUUUUAUAUACCCAAUCAAUAAGAAACAAUGAUUUCAGAAAACCCAUUGAAUUACUCGAAUCAAUAGACCCAAUCGUAAACCAAAGAAUUGAAAUUGAUUGAAAACUGAAUAACAAGGAGAGACAGAGACGGAGACAGAGGCUGGAGAUUGAGAGAAAGGAGCAAUAUCAGAGAUGAAGUUCUGAGCCUCAGAAUCGGAUUGAGGUCAGGUGCUAGAGAGAGAGAGAGGCGCGCGGUGGUCGACGACGGAGUCAUGGUCACUACGGUGGUCGAUUGAGAGAGGCUGAUUUCACUGGAACAUCGGAACCGAUGACAACACCUAUCCGAAAACUAAAACCGAGACAUCGGAGUACAAUUACUUCCACAACAUACCAAAAUCCCAACCGGCCGCCCACAUAAACCGCUCAUAUUCCCAGUCGGAGAAGUACACCCAGUCCGAAACUGAGAGAUCAGAGUACGAUUUCUUCGUCCCCAACCGUAACCCUAAAGCUUCGACCAAGGCUCAGUUGGAGAAGUAUGCUCAGUCGGAGAGAGAAGAGGUCCAGUGCAGCGAAUGGGGCGAUAACGAUCACUACAGCACAACGAGCUCGUCUGAAAACGAAGACGACGACAGGGAUUCGAGAUCCGAGAUGGGGACCCGGUCCAUUUUCGACCCGUCGAUUCGGGCCGAUGUCGAAGUAUGCGCCGAGCAUGAGGUCGGAGGAGUCGGAAGGGAGUACUUAGCGGAGCAAUGAAAUCUCAAACGUGAAAAUGGUGGUGAGGCAUAAAGACUUGAAGGAGAUUGUGGAGGAGAUUAAGGAGAAUUUCGAUAAGGCUGCGGCGGCCGGAGACCAGGUUUCCGAGAUGCUCGAGUCUAAUAGGGCCCAGCUUGAUCGAAGCUUCUGCCCAACCUCAGCGAUUUGACAUUAAUUGAGUCGGAACGCCCAAUUCCUUCGCCGCCUUCAUAAAUUUUUUUUGCUUUUUUUAUUAUAUGAAAAAAAUUAAGGAAAACGAAAACAAAAGGGUAUAUUGGUCAUUUAAUGAUCAAAAUCCUUCAACUGUCAAUUUUUGUAACGGAGCUAACGGCUCCAGGUACCAAACUUCGGUCGGGGUCAGAACCUCAUGUACCGUUAUGAUAUUUUCUAAACGUGAGGUACGAAAGUUUAGAAUGGACCAAACGUCAGGUAUGAUACGGACGAUUUUGCUUUGUAACUCUUUUCUUGUGUUUUCAGAUGGCAAUUGUUGUAUCACAUGAAGUAGCACAUCAGUGGUUUGGCAAUCUGGUAACAAUGGAAUAGUGGACUGAUUUAUGGCUUAACGAGGGUUUUGCAACAUGGGUACUUUUGAGACUUUCAGCUCUCUACUUUUUGAUUUGUUUUAUGCCUGCUUGAUCAUGUUUUGCCAGAUAAGUUAUAUGGCCACUGAUAUUUUGUUUCCUGAGUGGAAAGUUUGGUCUCAAUUUCUUCAACAAACUACUGGUGGACUAAUUAUGGAUGCACUGGAACAUUCACAUCCAAUUCAGGUAGAGGUACACCACGCACGUUCAGUUCUUGAAAUAUUCGAUGCUAUCAGCUAUAAAAAGGGAUCUGCUGUUAUACGAAUGCUGCAGGCUUAUCUUGGUGAUGAUAUAUUCCAGUCAUUCUAGGUUGCUGGCGAUGUUACAUAGUCACCCACGUGUUGAGAAAUGGCAAGCCAAGAACCGAGGAAAACUGAAAGAGCAAAAGAAGCCUAAACUUAGCCUAGAGUGUACAAAAACGGGCAGUCCAUUUCUACUAUUAAAGUUUCAAGCUUCGAUACUCCACCUGGAAGCUAUGGAAACUAUAACCAUGGUACUUGUCACGCUCCAAACUCUACCCAUGUGCUAAAUAAGGUACCCUCACAGUAGUGUCACACUGCUACUGUUUUGCUUCAGUUCAGGGUAAAAGUUUUUCCAUUUACCCAAGUUCAAGAUCAAUAAAACCUUAGGGUCAAACUUGCAGUACUGCUAGCUACUUUGCUAUGUUGUUUACUUGGUUGCCCGGAUUGUGUAGUGCUUCUAGUUUAUUAGCUUGUAGUACUGCAUACAUAUAUUUUGCUGGCUGCCCAGAUUAGUAGAUAUGGGCCAUUUUGGACUGAUGCUCAUGAUUAGGUUUGUGUACAUGAGACAAUGAUGGAUUAAUGGAAAUUACAAUGAAUGAUUUUGGAUGUGGA
Rosa rugosa (rugosa rose) is the source of this 4879-nucleotide long non-coding RNA. RefSeq lists it as uncharacterized. The record is from RefSeq and is a predicted model, not a curated record. The transcript has 11 exons. Lineage: Eukaryota; Viridiplantae; Streptophyta; Magnoliopsida; Rosales; Rosaceae.